Molecule: ribosomal RNA, 459 nt
Filed under: uncultured bacterium
Lineage: Bacteria
Description: partial 16S ribosomal RNA
Rfam family: Bacterial small subunit ribosomal RNA
Source: RNAcentral
CCUACGGGAGGCAGCAGUGAGGAAUAUUGGUCAAUGGGCGGGAGCCUGAACCAGCCAAGCCGCGUGAGGGAAGAAGGUACAGCGUAUCGUAAACCUCUUUUGUCAGGGAACAAAGGCGGGGACUAGUCCCCGGAUGAGGGUACCUGAAGAAAAAGCAUCGGCUAACUCCGUGCCAGCAGCCGCGGUAAUACGGAGGAUGCGAGCGUUAUCCGGAUUUAUUGGGUUUAAAGGGUGCGCAGGCGGCCUGUUAAGUCAGCGGUAAAAGCCCGGGGCUCAACCCCGGCGAGCCGUUGAAACUGGCGGGCUUGAGUUGGAGAGAGGUACGCGGAAUGCGCGGUGUAGCGGUGAAAUGCUGAGAUAUCGCGCAGAACCCCGAUUGCGAAGGCAGCGUACCGGCUCCACACUGACGCUGAGGCACGAAAGCGUGGGUAUCGAAUAGGAUUAGAUACCCGAGUAGUC